GUGGGGAAUAUUGCACAAUGGGCGCAAGCCUGAUGCAGCAACGCCGCGUGAGGGACGACGGCCUUCGGGUUGUAAACCUCUUUUAGCAGGGAAGAAGCGAAAGUGACGGUACCUGCAGAAAAAGCACCGGCUAACUACGUGCCAGCAGCCGCGGUAAUACGUAGGGUGCAAGCGUUGUCCGGAAUUAUUGGGCGUAAAGAGCUCGUAGGCGGUCUGUCGCGUCUGCUGUGAAAACUGGAGGCUCAACCUCCAGCCUGCAGUGGGUACGGGCAGACUAGAGUGCGGUAGGGGAGAUUGGAAUUCCUGGUGUAGCGGUGGAAUGCGCAGAUAUCAGGAGGAACACCGAUGGCGAAGGCAGAUCUCUGGGCCGUAACUGACGCUGAGGAGCGAAAGCGUGGGGAGCGAACAGGAUUAGAAACCCGAGUAGUCC
This 430-nucleotide ribosomal RNA is filed under the name uncultured bacterium. RNAcentral describes it as "partial 16S ribosomal RNA". It matches the Rfam family "Bacterial small subunit ribosomal RNA", at positions 354 to 796 of the family's 1533-position model. The record is from RNAcentral.